This 947-nucleotide unclassified non-coding RNA is filed under the name Hevea brasiliensis (rubber tree). The record is from RNAcentral. Lineage: Eukaryota; Viridiplantae; Streptophyta; Magnoliopsida; Malpighiales; Euphorbiaceae.
AAAAAAAAUAAAAAAAAAAUGAAAAAAAAAAAAUAAAGGUAUAAUUCGAAUUCUGGUUAUGUACCACAGCUAGCAAGAACAGAUUCGUGAAUAGUGUCCUGUAUAAUCCAAGCAUCAAAAAACGAACCAAUUUCUCACUCAGUCGCGGCAUCUCUGUUUCAAUCCUACUCCUACAUAUAUUUCUUUUUACCUCCUUUAAAAAAUAAAAUUUACAAAAGUAAGCGGGAAAGACGGUAACGUCAUCGUCUGAUUACCGUUUGCCGAAACUUUUCGUUUCUUCCUUCACUCGGCUGGCAUGGUUCCCAGCCGCCAAGAAUCAUCCGGAAAUUCGGAAGAAACGAAAAAUACGUUGGAAUACUCGAACAAUCCGUCAUCAAACGCCGCAUACUCUGCGUUAUAAUUUUCACUGACUCCCAACUCGAACGAGUCAUAACUCGGGAUCUGAUCAUCAAACCCCCAGAACCCACCAUUUUCAGAUGAGUCAACUGAGUCCACUCGGACCAACUCAGUCACUUCAUUUUUAUUCUCCUCCCCGGAAGAAGUUACCGAUGAAGGAGGUAACCCAAGCUCAUCAUCAGAUGCUUCUAGAAGGUACCCAAGUUCCGGUUGGGACUCACCGGAAUCCGACGUGAGGUCCACAACAACGACUGGGGAGGAGGAGGCAGAUAUCUCCUCUUCAAAACUCUUCAUUACAGAGUCUAGAUCCUGAGUGGUCGGGUCAGGGUCCGACUCAUCAAGAAUACUCAACAAAUCAUCUCUUAUUUUCUUCACCUCGGGAAAAUCCAACUCGGCCUCCUCCCUGACUCGCUUCUUGUUGAUAAGCUCUUCCAUUGCGAUGUAAAAGAGGAAAUUUGAUAUUUGAUAUACCCUCGAAAACAAUAAAAAUGAAACAGUAUGGUUAGGGUUUUUGCUUUUCUUGCAGUAGAUAGGAAAUAAUACGCUUUGCG